UCACCUUGCAGUAUCGGUGUGGUUUGAACCGAGGUGUGCCUAGAGAUCAAAUUUCUGCUUAUCAACUGCACAAAUGUGAUCCAAAGCCUGGAGACAUCAAUGAACUCUGCAGGAGUUCACUUGCUGAGCAGGUGUUCAUGGCCCACCACGGGAAGAGAGAUUUGGGGUAGAAAUAGCUUUUCACCUGCACAAACUGAGCAGCUUUUUGCUGCAAUUUGCACCUCUGGACCUGCCAGUAACACCCAGGUUCCUCUGAAUGAGUCUGGCAGGCCAGGCUGAGCACUGCAAUGAGGCACCAAACUGCUGUGUGUGUCUCCUGCCUGGCUUUUGCUGUGAAGCACAAACUGGUGAUGCUGCAGGAGCUCUCUCUUGCUACUCUUGAGCCACAGUGGCUGCAUCUCUUUCCAUGCCAUGGUACCCACACUUCUGACUCACCAUCAGAAAUUUUCUACACAACUGACCGUUUGCUUUCAGCUAUGCAAUUUUUUUUUUUACUUUUUUUUUUAAGUAGAAGCUUGAUUUUUUUUUUUAUGUUAAAGUCUAAAAAUAAAAAUAAUCACUAGUGUUAAGUGACCUAUAAGAAUGAAGCAGAAACAGGCCAGUCAGACCUCAUUAGCCAAGACUAGGGAUUUCUGCUUGAAUUUCAUCCUCAAGACAUCAGUCUUACUAAGUGAUAUUGGGAUAUUAAAAAUUAAUUCUGUGAUGAGUUUUACUACUCCCAUCUUCUUUCAGAAGCUCACAAAUUAUCAUUUUGUUAUCAUGGUCUGGUGGAAACCUAUUUUUGGUGUUAAUGAUAAGACAGAUGUUUGUAAUUUUGAAGACUGAUAAAGAUAUUUUGAGGCAGCACUUAGCAGCAUAAAUUAGGUGUUCUCUAAUAACCUAUGCAAAAUAUUCAGGAAUACUUUCCAUGUAGUUAUGAAAAUAGACUAGGAAAAUUAUCACAUUCUCAGGACUGGGUUACAUUUUUAUAUCUUAUCAUAGAGCAGUUAAUUUCUGGCUAUUUCUUGCAGGACCUAACCCCAGCUGCUGGCUCCUUCCAGAGGCAGGACUUUGCACACAAAUGGCACAGACAGGUAAAUCUCAGUGACAUCAGGGUCCCAAGCAGGCCUUGGGAUGUUUGCCCCAUGGCUUGGGAUCACUUUGUGGUGGGAGUUCCAGGGGGGGAAAAAAGAGAAUCACAGUGAAACAGCAGCCAGGAAAUGGAUAUUUAAGGGAUGGAAAUGCUCUCGUGCUCCACCUCUGACUGCUGCACUUUCUCUGUGUACAUUUUCUUCUGCUUUUGCCCAGAUCCUUUUGUGUUUUACUGUAUCCAGUGAAAGAGGUUGGGGUGUCUCCCUCACAAAAUCAUUGUGAAGCAGCCACACAACCUUGCUGUCAAAUAUAUUUUUUAAUUUCCCUUAAUUUGAUCUCUCUUAUUUACGUAACAUUUCACGGUUCUUUGUAUUCCCAUUCUAAGUAUUUCCUAUGCAAACAUGGCCUUAAAAUAUCUGCUGGCUGCUUUCCCCGCCUUAUGUUUUAGCCAAGCUAUAUCUAAACUACCUUCAAUUCCUUUUUUUAUCUCAUGUGAAUGCUUCCAAUUCUUUGGUUAUGUUUUUUUGUGGGGUGUGUUAAUGCUGUGCUUUGCCACUCCUCUCCCCAGCAGUGCCCUCUCUCCCAUCAGCAGUGGACUUGUGGCACUGAGAUGUCCAAGGAUCACACCGAGAGAAUUCCUGCUGAGCUCCUGCUGUGGAAGAGCUGGCACAGACAGGAAGAAAAGCUGCUUUUAAGAUUUCAGUUAUGGCUCCAUGCUCCAGAUGUUUAUGGAGGUGUGCAGAAAUAGAUCCUCCAAAAAUGUCAGAAGUGGCUUCACUCAAAUAUUAAUUAUUUUACCAUUUCAAUCAUUAUUUUCCACUGAAUUUUUUUUAUUAGCACUCACAAAACAAAGGAGAGAAGAGAGCAGAAGAUCCUAUGGCUCUUUAAUUGCACCUUUUCUUCUGUAUCCUUCAUGAAACAUUAUAGGGAACAAAUAAAUAUAAAUGUCACACUUUUGGAAUGAUACCUUCUUUAUAUGCAGAAAUUAAUUAUAAAUCCUUCCAAAGUAAAUCCUUAUGAUCUCAUCAAAUUACUGUAUUAAAAAUCAUCAUGAAAAUAUCUUUCCAUGUGAGACUUUCAAAUAUAUGAAAUGUAAAUUAAUUCUCAGAAAUUGCCUGAAUGAAUGCAUUAAGCCUAUUCUGUGGGUGGUUAUACAGACACUUUGAAAUUUUUUUGUUCAUAUCUUCAAUCACCUACAGCAGCACAACAGUAAAACCCUCAAGCCCUCCAUCUUAUUUGCUGCAACCAUGGCACAGAAAUUAGACAGGAGACUUUGGAACAAAAAUACUCAGAGAUUUCAUUAAAACAUUUUAUUCCUGAGCAUCUGAAGUUAAAAAAAAAAAUAAUAAAAAAAAAAUCCACAAAAGACUCAAUAUGUUGUUUGACCAAAUAACUGUUUAGAGGAUAAAUGCAGAAGGGAGCAUCUCCAUUUACCCUGAGAAAGCUAUCCAGCAUACAUAAAAUCAAGGUGAAAAAAAAUACCUAUUAGCACUAAUUCAAAAUACUACCAAAGUGUCUGAAAAUGCACUUUCCUAGAAGAUUUAAUACUUUAUAUAAAGGUAGGCAGGUAUUUCAGACAGAGGCCUGUCAGUGUUUCCAUUAACUUAAAUGAUGGAAGACUGUGCUCAUGUAAAAUUUACAGUGUACAUUAAACCAUCAAGGGUAACAAC
This is a long non-coding RNA of Parus major (Great Tit), 2741 nucleotides long. RefSeq lists it as uncharacterized. NCBI's taxonomy places the organism in Eukaryota, Metazoa, Chordata, Aves, Passeriformes, Paridae. The transcript is spliced from 3 exons. The record is from RefSeq and is a predicted model, not a curated record.